CUGGCUCAGGAUGAACGCUGGCGGCGUGCCUAAUACAUGCAAGUCGAACGAGAACCCUUGGAUUCGUCUGGGGGGGAGAGUGGCGAACUGGUGAGUAACACGUGGGUGACCUGCCCCGAAGACGGGGAUAACCGUUGGAAACGACGGCUAAUACCCGAUAUACUCGGUGAUUCGGUUCAUCGAGUAAAGGCUCCGGUGCUUCGGGAUGGGCCUGCGGCCUAUCAGCUAGUUGGUGGGGUAAUGGCCCACCAAGGCGAAGACGGGUAGGGGGCGUGAGAGCGCGGCCCCCCACACUGGCACUGAGAUACGGGCCAGACUUCUACGGAAGGCAGCAGUCGGGGAUAUUGCACAAUCGGCGAAAGCCGGAUGCAGCGACGCCGCGUGGGCGAUGAAGGCCUUCGGGUUGUAAAGCCCUUUUAUGGGGGAAGAGACAAUGACGGUACCCCAAGAAUAAGCGUCGGCUAACUACGUGCCAGCAGCCGCGGUAAAACGUAGGACGCAAGCGUUAUCCGGAUUUACUGGGCGUAAAGAGCGUUGAGGCGGUUCCGUAAGUUGGGCGUGAAAGCCCCGGGCUUAACCCGGGGAGGUCGUUCAAUACUGCGGGACUUGAGGGCAGCAGAGGGAGGCGGAAUUCCCGGUGUCGCGGUGAAAUGCGUAGAUAUCGGGAGGAACACCAGUGGCGAAUGCGGACUCCUGGGCUGU
Molecule: ribosomal RNA, 702 nt
Filed under: uncultured organism
Description: bacterial SSU rRNA
Rfam family: Bacterial small subunit ribosomal RNA
Source: RNAcentral